AUUGAACGCUGGCGGCAUGCCUAACACAUGCAAGUCGAACGGCAGCAUUAUCUAGCUUGCUAGAUAGAUGGCGAGUGGCGAACGGGUGAGUAACGCGUAGGAAUGUAUCAUAUAGAGGGGGACAACCUGGGGAAACUCAGGCUAAUACCGCGUAAUAUCUAAGGAUUAAAGCUGGGGACCUUUCGGGGCCUGGCGCUAUAUGGGCAGCCUGCGUUCGAUUAGCUAGUUGGUGGGGUAAAGGCUCACCAAGGCGACGAUCGAUAGCUGGUCUGAGAGGAUGGUCAGCCACACUGGGACUGAGACACGGCCCAG
This 312-nucleotide ribosomal RNA is filed under the name uncultured bacterium. Its description in RNAcentral is "bacterial SSU rRNA". It matches the Rfam family "Bacterial small subunit ribosomal RNA", at positions 30 to 334 of the family's 1533-position model. The record is from RNAcentral.